UUUCGCAAUGCCCGAAAGGGUGACGAAGCGGCGCCGCGUGUGGGAAGAAGGCCUUCGGGUUGUAAACCACUGUCGGGAGUUAGGAAAUGUAAGGGUGCUAAUAGUAUCCUUGCUUGACUAAGGCUCCGGAGGAAGCCACGGCUAACUCUGUGCCAGCAGCCGCGGUAAUACAGAGGCGGCAAGCGUUGUUCGGAAUUAUUGGGCGUAAAGAGCACGUAGGCGGCCUUGUAAGUCAGUUGUGAAAGCCUUCUGCUUAACGGAAGAACAGCAGCUGAUACUGCAAGGCUAGAGUGCGGAAGGGGAGAGUGGAACUUCUGGUGGAGCGGUGAAAUGCGUAGAUAUCAGAAGGAACACCGGCGGCGAAGGCGACUCUCUGGUCCGUAACUGACGCUGAGUGUGCGAAAGCUAGGGGAGCAAACGGGAUUAGAUACCCCGGUAGUCCUAGCCGUAAACGAUGGGCACUAAGUAGAGGGGUUUUA
Molecule: ribosomal RNA, 479 nt
Filed under: uncultured Planctomycetota bacterium
Lineage: Bacteria; Pseudomonadati; Planctomycetota
Description: bacterial SSU rRNA
Rfam family: Bacterial small subunit ribosomal RNA
Source: RNAcentral